GGUGGUAUAGCGGUUAAAGUGCUCGGCUGCUAACCAAAAGGUCAGUGGUUCAAAUCCACUAGCCGCCA
RNAcentral lists this transfer RNA (68 nucleotides) under Loxodonta africana (African savanna elephant). It matches the Rfam family "tRNA". Rfam says of the family: Transfer RNA (tRNA) molecules are approximately 80 nucleotides in length. The record is from Rfam by way of RNAcentral. Lineage: Eukaryota; Metazoa; Chordata; Mammalia; Proboscidea; Elephantidae.